RNAcentral lists this ribosomal RNA (466 nucleotides) under uncultured bacterium. RNAcentral's name for it is "partial 16S ribosomal RNA". It matches the Rfam family "Bacterial small subunit ribosomal RNA", at positions 28 to 507 of the family's 1533-position model. The record is from RNAcentral.
GAUGAACGCUGGCGGCGUGCUUAACACAUGCAAGUCGAACGGAAAGGCCCAAGCUUGCUUGGGUACUCGAGUGGCGAACGGGUGAGUAACACGUGGGUGAUCUGCCCUGCACUUUGGGAUAAGCCUGGGAAACUGGGUCUAAUACCGGAUAGGACCACAUUCUGGAUGGUGUGGGGGGAAGUUUUUCGGUGUGGGGUGAGCUCGCGGCCUAUUAGCUUGUUGGUGGGGGAAUGGCCUACCAAGGGGGCGUCGGGUAGUCGGCCCGGGGGGGGGGACGGCCACAUUGGGACUUGGAUCCGGCCCCGACUCCUACGGGGGGCAGCAGGGGGGAAAAUUGCACAAUGGGCGCGAGCCUGAUGCAGCGACGCCGCGUGGGGGAUGACGGCCUUCGGGUUGUAAACUCCUUUCGCUAGGGACGAAGCGUUAUGUGACGGUACCUGGAGAAGAAGCACCGGCUAACUACGUG